AAAUUGUAAUUGAAAAGUAGCAAACACAGCCCAAAACUCUCUCUUCGUCUCUCUCUCUUUCUCUCCGUCUCCCCUAACUUCGCAGCCUACCGUAUUGCCUCACUGUUGCUGCCAACAACCUCCAUGGUACGGUUGUUGCUCUCUAUCGCUGGUAUGGCUCUGCCGAUGCGCAGAGAUCUAGAAAACCCUUUAUCGCCGCCAUCGUCGUCUUCGAUCUCCUCCUCCGCUACCCCUCCGACACCUCUGGUUCGAUCGCAGACCACAGAUCCGCUGACGAUCUAAACCCUAGCUGUGCUGUCAUCUUUGAUCUCUUAUCUUCCACAUAGGGAUUGUUAGAGCGACUUCUCUAGGGUUUUUCGCUAUCGACAAACAGUGUGACCACCACCGAGGGAAAGGAGGUCUACAACUUGCCAAAUCUGAUAUAUUUAUUAUAUUUAUAUAUAAAGGAUGGUUGAAUCUGAGGAUGCUAUUUGUUAGAUCUGUUCUGGCGUCUUACGGCAGCGGCGCCGUAGGCGGUGGUGGGUUUGGAGUAAACUCAAGUUGGUCGAACGAGUUUUCACUCAAAGAGAAAACAAAGACAAAACGAGCAUAGCCUAUGAUCUCGUCGAGUAAAUGCAGUAUCUGUAUGUUAUAUUUCGACAUAGUGAUCCUUGGAUUUGGAUUUGGGUUGUCCAUGGUAAUCUUUGGAUUUAUGUGUGUGUGUGUGUGUGUUUUUUUUUUUCUGAUCUCUAAUCAAUACAUUUAUUUGUCUU
Long non-coding RNA from Camellia sinensis, 752 nucleotides. RefSeq lists it as uncharacterized. The record is from RefSeq and is a predicted model, not a curated record. Lineage: Eukaryota; Viridiplantae; Streptophyta; Magnoliopsida; Ericales; Theaceae.